CCGAGUUUAAUACAACUCCCAAACCCCUGUGAAACCAGACCCAUAUCGUUGCCUCGGCGGCGCCCCCUCGGGGACCGCCAGAGGACCCAAACUCUUGCUUUCGUACAAGUUUGUCUGAGUGUUGCUGCAAGCAAAAUAAAUCA
This 143-nucleotide unclassified non-coding RNA is filed under the name soil metagenome. RNAcentral describes it as "partial internal transcribed spacer 1". The record is from RNAcentral.